AAUAUGGCAGGCGUGAUGAAUCAAUUAAAUGUGCGAACGGAAGUUUUCUCAUGUGCUCAACUAUUGAGGCAUAUUAGAAUUCUGACCUGCCAAUU
Molecule: small nucleolar RNA, 95 nt
Organism: Musa acuminata AAA Group (dessert banana)
Lineage: Eukaryota; Viridiplantae; Streptophyta; Magnoliopsida; Zingiberales; Musaceae
Product: small nucleolar RNA Z266
Exons: 1
Source: RefSeq, a predicted model, not a curated record